UGAGAACGAGAGUUUCAAGGCCUCAGAGACAAAGCGGAUCAAGCUUUGGACAUGCAUAUUGACUAUCCAACCCGCAACUGCAAUGAAACCUACCGACCAAAACAGAGAGGGAAGAAACCGUCUUAAUCACUUCAACUUCUUAUUUCUUAAGCUACUCCAACAAAAGCCUACAAAGAACAGAGCACAAGAGGUCAUCAUUGACGACGAUUAGGAGGUGUUAGUGCUAUCCGUCGCACCACACCUUCUCCAUGUGGAGGAAAGCAGAAAGGAAGGAGAUGACCAGCGACAUAGGGCGAUUAAGAUUGGCAUAGGUGUGGUGUUAGUUGUCAGAGGCCAGCGGAAAAUCUCGUAGGCCGCCUGCAGUUGACAUAAACGAGGGAGUACGUGGAGAGGACGUAAUUGUAGGGUUCCACGACUGAGAUGGAGACCAACGUCGAGGGGUGGACUAUGAACCUAUAGUCGACUUCUUACCGUAAUCCACGAAGAGAAGCCCCUGGAGAAGGGAGCCGAGGCCGGAGCCUGUGUUGCCGCCGACGGCGUACAAAGCUGGGAACCCUUGCGGGCCCGUGAGGUUGCCUACGGGGUUCGUGAUGCGAGCGGGCAUAGAUCAAUAGCCUCAUUCCCCAUCACAAAUAGUGGCAGCGCGUGAGGUUGAUUGCUGCAUUCUCCUUGCCACUGUUUAGCUUCUCCAGGAAUGGGAAUUGGCGG
Molecule: long non-coding RNA, 708 nt
Filed under: Spirodela polyrhiza (greater duckweed)
Lineage: Eukaryota; Viridiplantae; Streptophyta; Magnoliopsida; Alismatales; Araceae
Description: long non-coding RNA (SPOL_LNC001242)
Source: RNAcentral